Molecule: ribosomal RNA, 253 nt
Filed under: uncultured bacterium
Lineage: Bacteria
Description: partial 16S ribosomal RNA
Rfam family: Bacterial small subunit ribosomal RNA
Source: RNAcentral
UACGUAGGGGGCGAGCGUUGUCCGGAAUCAUUGGGCGUAAAGCGCGUGUAGGCGGUUCGGUAAGUCCGCUGUGAAAGUCGGGGGCUCAACCCUCGAAAGCCGGUGGAUACUGUCGGGCUUGAGUACGGAAGAGGCGAGUGGAAUUCCUGGUGUAGCGGUGAAAUGCGCAGAUAUCAGGAGGAACACCAAUUGCGAAGGCAGCUCGCUGGGACGUUACUGACGCUGAGACGCGAAAGCGUGGGGAGCAAACAGG